This 450-nucleotide ribosomal RNA is filed under the name uncultured bacterium. Its description in RNAcentral is "bacterial SSU rRNA". It matches the Rfam family "Bacterial small subunit ribosomal RNA", at positions 328 to 794 of the family's 1533-position model. The record is from RNAcentral.
UCGCCAGACUCCUACGGGAGGCAGCAGUGGGGAAUAUUGCACAAUGGGGGAAACCCUGAUGCAGCAACGCCGCGUGGGUGAAGGAGCGUUUCGGCGCGUAAAGCCCUGUCAGCGGGGAAGAAGAAAGACGGUACCCGACCAAGAAGCCCCGGCUAACUACGUGCCAGCAGCCGCGGUAAUACGUAGGGGGCAAGCGUUAUCCGGAUUUACUGGGUGUAAAGGGAGCGUAGACGGCAGAGCAAGUCUGAAGUGAAAGCCCGCGGCCCAACUGCGGGACUGCUUUGGAAACUGCCCGGCUAGAGUGCUGGAGAGGUAAGCGGAAUUCCUAGUGUAGCGGUGAAAUGCGUAGAUAUUAGGAGGAACACCAGUGGCGAAGGCGGCUUACUGGACAGUAACUGACGUUGAGGCUCGAAAGCGUGGGGAGCAAACAGGAUUAGAUACCCGUGUAUA